RNAcentral lists this ribosomal RNA (468 nucleotides) under uncultured bacterium. Its description in RNAcentral is "partial 16S ribosomal RNA". It matches the Rfam family "Bacterial small subunit ribosomal RNA", at positions 28 to 507 of the family's 1533-position model. The record is from RNAcentral.
GACGAACGCUGGCGGCGUGCUUAACACAUGCAAGUCGAACGGAAAGGCCCUGCUUUUGUGGGGUGCUCGAGUGGCGAACGGGGGAGUAACACGUGAGUAACCUGUCCCUGACUGUGGGAUAACUUCAGGAAACUGGGGCUAAUACCGGAUAGGAGCUCCUGCUGCAUGGUGGGGGUUGGAAAGUUUCGGCGGUUGGGGAUGGACUCGCGGCUUAUCAGCUUGUUGGUGGGGUAGUGGCUUACCAAGGCUUUGACGGGUAGCCGGCCUGAGAGGGUGACCGGCCACAUUGGGACUGCGAUACGGCGCAGACUCCAACGGGAGGCAGCAGUGGGGAGUAUUGCACAGUGGGCGGGAGCCUGAUGCAGCAACGCCGCGUGCGGGAUGACGUCUUUCGGGUUGUAAACCACUUUCGCCUGUGACGAGGCGUGAGUGACGGUAAUGGGUAAAGAAGCACCGGCUAACUACGUG